GAUCCUGGCUCAGAUUGAACGCUGGCGGCAGGCCUAACACAUGCAAGUCGAACGGUAACAGGAAGCAGCUUGCUGCUUCGCUGACGAGUGGCGGACGGGUGAGUAGUGUCUGGGAAACUGCCUGAUGGAGGGGGGAUAACUACUGGAAACGGUAGCUAAUACCGCAUAACGUCGCAAGACCAAAGAGGGGGGACCUUCGGGCCUCUUGCCAUCGGAUGUGCCCAGAUGGGAUUAGCUAGUAGGG
This 244-nucleotide ribosomal RNA is filed under the name uncultured bacterium. RNAcentral describes it as "partial 16S ribosomal RNA". It matches the Rfam family "Bacterial small subunit ribosomal RNA", at positions 15 to 253 of the family's 1533-position model. The record is from RNAcentral.